Molecule: ribosomal RNA, 292 nt
Filed under: uncultured bacterium
Lineage: Bacteria
Description: partial 16S ribosomal RNA
Rfam family: Bacterial small subunit ribosomal RNA
Source: RNAcentral
GUGCCAGCAGCCGCGGUAAUACGAAGGGGGCUAGCGUUGUUCGGAAUCACUGGGCGUAAAGCGCACGUAGGCGGACGUUUAAGUCAGGGGUGAAAUCCCAGGGCUCAACCCUGGAACUGCCCUUGAUACUGGACGUCUCGAGUCCGGGAGAGGUGAGUGGAACUCCGAGUGUAGAGGUGAAAUUCGUAGAUAUUCGGAAGAACACCAGUGGCGAAGGCGGCUCACUGGCCCGGUACUGACGCUGAGGUGCGAAAGCGUGGGGAGCAAACAGGAUUAGAUACCCUCGUAGUCC